AACGCGAAGAACCUUACCUGGGCUUGAACCGCACAGGACCAUUCCUAGAAAUAGGGACUUCCCGCAAGGGACCUGUGUAGAGGUGCUGCAUGGCUGUCGUCAGCUCGUGCCGUGAGGUGUUGGGUUAAGUCCCGCAACGAGCGCAACCCUUACUCGUAGUUGCCACCCGCAAGGGGGAACUCUACGAGGACUGCUCCGGAUAACGGAGAGGAAGGUGGGGAUGAGGUCAAGUCAGCAUGGCCUUUAUGUCCAGGGCUACACACGUGUUACAAUGCGCGCCACAAUGCGUCGCGAACCCGCGAGGGGGAGCUAAUCGCAAAAAAGCGCGCUCAGUUCGGAUUGCAGUCUGCAACUCGACUGCAUGAAGCUGGAAUCGCUAGUAAUGGCGCAUCAGAACGGCGCCGUGAAUACGUUCCCGGGCCUUGUACACACCGAGACGAC
RNAcentral lists this ribosomal RNA (441 nucleotides) under uncultured bacterium. RNAcentral's name for it is "bacterial SSU rRNA". It matches the Rfam family "Bacterial small subunit ribosomal RNA", at positions 958 to 1398 of the family's 1533-position model. The record is from RNAcentral.